GAUGAAGAACGCAGCGAAAUGCGAUAAGUAAUGUGAAUUGCAGAAUUCAGUGAAUCAUCGAAUAUUUGAACGCACAUUGCGCCCGCUAGUAUUCUGGCGGGCAUGCCUGUCCGAGCGUCAUUUCAACCCUCAAGCCCCCGGGCUUGGUGUUGGGGAUCGGCGAGCCUCCGCGCCCGCCGUCCCCUAAAUCUAGUGGCGGUCUCGCUGUAGCUUCCUCUGCGUAGUAGCACACCUAGCACUGGGAAACAGCGCGGCCACGCCGUUAAACCCCCAACUUCUGAACGUUUGACCUCGGAUCAGGUAGGAAUACCCGCUGAACUUAAGCAUAUCAAUAAGCGGAGGA
Molecule: unclassified non-coding RNA, 343 nt
Filed under: soil metagenome
Description: partial contains 5.8S ribosomal RNA, internal transcribed spacer 2, and large subunit ribosomal RNA
Rfam family: 5.8S ribosomal RNA (bases 1-120)
Source: RNAcentral